GGUUGGAUCCCUGCCUUGAGCGGUGACGUCCUAUCUUGCUAUCCUCUUCAUUGUUGGCACAAUUUCUAUUGGCCGUCCCCCGGUUUCCUGUGUGUUGUACCUACUAGAUGGAAUUCGGUUGUCAAUCUCUAGACGUUCGCCUUAGGCUGCCCGUUAUCUCGGUGCGGCUGCGGGUGAAACUCGAAACGAGAUUCGUGUCCCACGUUGCAUGUUGGUUUCGUGGUCCAUAAAUUCUCGCUCGGGCGCUGGGAUACAGAAAACGAUGAGGGCACGGAGUCAUCGGCUCCUAUUUGUCCGCAAAAAAGGCUUAAUGCCUAUUUCGAACGACUUCGGUCCCGUUCCGGCCCCGUGCCGUGCGGGCCGAUGUCCGUGAGGAAUGCUAC
This 383-nucleotide unclassified non-coding RNA is filed under the name Hexasepalum sarmentosum. Its description in RNAcentral is "partial external transcribed spacer". The record is from RNAcentral. Lineage: Eukaryota; Viridiplantae; Streptophyta; Magnoliopsida; Gentianales; Rubiaceae.